GACGAACGCUGGCGGCGUGCCUAAUACAUGCAAGUCGAGCGAAGUUUUUCUGGUGCUUGCACCGGAAAAACUUAGCGGCGAACGGGUGAGUAACACGUAAAGAACCUGCCUCAUAGACUGGGACAACUAUUGGAAACGAUAGCUAAUACCGGAUAACAGCAUUAACUGCAUGGUUGAUGUUUAAAAGUUGGUUUUGCUAACACUAUGAGAUGGCUUUGCGGUGCAUUAGCUAGUUGGUGGGGUAAAGGCCUACCAAGGCGACGAUGCAUAGCCGACCUGAGAGGGUGAUCGGCCACACUGGGACUGAGACACGGCCCAGACUCCCACGGGAGGCAGCAGUAGGGAAUCUUCCGCAAUGGGCGAAAGCCUGACGGAGCAACGCCGCGUGAGUGAAGAAGGAUUUCGGUUCGUAAAGCUCUGUUGUUAGGGAAGAAUGAUUGUGUAGUAACUAUACACAGUAGAGACGGUACCUAACCAGAAAGCCACGGCUAACUACGUG
This 499-nucleotide ribosomal RNA is filed under the name uncultured bacterium. Its description in RNAcentral is "partial 16S ribosomal RNA". It matches the Rfam family "Bacterial small subunit ribosomal RNA", at positions 28 to 507 of the family's 1533-position model. The record is from RNAcentral.